GCAUAUGUGGCUGAGUUUUUAAGGCGACUGACUAGAAAUCAGUUUCCCUCUGGGAGCGUAGGUUCGAAUUCUACGAUCUGCG
Molecule: transfer RNA, 82 nt
Filed under: Daphnia galeata
Lineage: Eukaryota; Metazoa; Arthropoda; Branchiopoda; Diplostraca; Daphniidae
Rfam family: tRNA
About the family: Transfer RNA (tRNA) molecules are approximately 80 nucleotides in length. Their secondary structure includes four short double-helical elements and three loops (D, anti-codon, and T loops). Further hydrogen bonds mediate the characteristic L-shaped molecular structure. tRNAs have two regions of fundamental functional importance: the anti-codon, which is responsible for specific mRNA codon recognition, and the 3' end, to which the tRNAs corresponding amino acid is attached (by aminoacyl-tRNA synthetases). tRNAs cope with the degeneracy of the genetic code in two manners: having more than one tRNA (with a specific anti-codon) for a particular amino acid; and 'wobble' base-pairing, i.e. permitting non-standard base-pairing at the 3rd anti-codon position.
Source: Rfam by way of RNAcentral